GGGAAACACAAAAGAGGUGGAUUUCUUAGGGGAAAUCUAAGCUAGGCAAGAGUUUACCACAAGAAAACAUCAAGGAAAAGAAGCCGCUUUCUGAGUUUCUGGUGAUGGGGAUUGGAUAAUAAAAGGCUGGGGAUAUGCCACUCACCUUGGACACUGCAGCAGAGGUCUGGGACAAACGACAGAAAGCCAGUAGAAGGCCUCUGUCUAAAGAAAACAGCUACCAGGGCACCUGGAUGGCUCAGAUGGUUAAGCGUCUGCCUUCAGCUCAGGUCAUGAUCUCAGGGUCCUGGGAUCGAGCCCCGC
Long non-coding RNA from Zalophus californianus (California sea lion), 303 nucleotides. RefSeq lists it as uncharacterized. NCBI's taxonomy places the organism in Eukaryota, Metazoa, Chordata, Mammalia, Carnivora, Otariidae. The transcript is spliced from 3 exons. The record is from RefSeq and is a predicted model, not a curated record.